ACAAUAAGCUAAUCAGACAGAAUAGUGUUGAAUGUUUGACUUUUUAGAUAUUAGUUGUAGCUAACAAUAAGUUUUUUUUAUAUUAAAUCCUUUUCUUUCUCGAGGUACAAACUGAACAUAAUCAUAUCAAUUGCUCACAGAAUUGAGUAGAAGUACACAAUGAACGUGUCGAAAAUAUUUCAUUAUUAUUGGACGGAAAUAGCAGUGCGACAUGUCUUCGUGAUCUAUAAUCGUAUACGCUACUUCGAUGAGUGCCCGAAGGGAAACAACUUUGAGAUGUCUAGACUAGAUUUGAUUCUUCCAAGCAUUCGGUGGUCUCUGAACAUAUUGUAGAU
Non-coding RNA from Nylanderia fulva, 335 nucleotides. The record is from RefSeq and is a predicted model, not a curated record. Lineage: Eukaryota; Metazoa; Arthropoda; Insecta; Hymenoptera; Formicidae.